UCUAGAGCUAAUACAUGCGCCCAAACCCGACUUCUUGGAAGGGUUGUGUUUAUUAGUUACAAAACCAACCCAGGCUCUGCCUGGUUUUCUGGUGAUUCAUAAUAACCGAGCGAAUCGCAUGGCAUCAGCUGGCGAUGAAUCAUUCAAGUUUCUGACCUAUCAGCUUCCGACGGUAGGGUAUUGGCCUACCGUGGCAAUGACGGGUAAUUCCAGCUCCAAUAGCGUAUAUUAAAGUUGUUGCGGUUAAAAAGCUCGUAGUUGGAUUUCUGCCGAGGACGACCGGUCCGCCCUCUGGGUGAGUAUCUGGCUCGGCCUGGGCAUCUUCUUGGAGAACGUAACUGCACUUGGCUGUGUGGUGCGGUAUUCAGGACUUUUACUUUGAGGAAAUUAGAGUGUUUCAAGCAGGCACACGCCUUGAAUACAUUAGCAUGGAAUAAUAAGAUGGGACCUCGGUUCUAUUUUGUUGGUUUCUAGA
This 475-nucleotide ribosomal RNA is filed under the name Heterocapsa niei. RNAcentral describes it as "bacterial SSU rRNA". It matches the Rfam family "Eukaryotic small subunit ribosomal RNA", at positions 157 to 855 of the family's 1831-position model. The record is from RNAcentral. Lineage: Eukaryota; Dinophyceae; Peridiniales; Heterocapsaceae.